CAUGGAGCUUUUGGCCUAAAAACUAGAAAUUAAUGAAAAAAAAUAAGUAAUUAAUAAAGAAAAUAUAGAAAAAACAAACACGAAAGUAAACACUCUUGAUAAAAAAGACAAUGAAAAUAUAGUAGCUAGUACAUCAGAAAUAAGAAAACAUACAUAUUAUUAUAAGGAUAAGUUUAAAAGAUAUAACCUAAAGGAUGAAUAUAACAAAUGGACACCAAAACAACUAAUUAAUAAAAAUUAUAAUUUCUUAGACUC
This 255-nucleotide long non-coding RNA is filed under the name Capsicum annuum. Its description in RNAcentral is "long non-coding RNA (CANN_LNC002587)". Lineage: Eukaryota; Viridiplantae; Streptophyta; Magnoliopsida; Solanales; Solanaceae. The record is from RNAcentral.